AUUGAACGCUGGCGGAAUGCUUUACACAUGCAAGUCGAGCGGCAGCGCGGGGGCAACCCUGGCGGCGAGCGGCGAACGGGUGAGUAACAUAUCGGAACGUACCCAGUCGUGGGGGAUAACUAUCCGAAAGGAUAGCUAAUACCGCAUACGUCCUGAGGGAGAAAGCGGGGGAUCGCAAAGACCUCGCGCGAUUGGAGCGGCCGAUAUCGGAUUAGCUAGUUGGUGGGGGUAAAAGGCUCACCAAGGCGACGAUCCGUAGCGGGUCUGAGAGGACGACCCGCCACACUGGAACUGAGACACGGUCCAGACUCCUACGGGAGGCAGCAGUGGGGAAUUUUGGACAAUGGGGGCAACCCUGAUCCAGCCAUUCCGCGUGAGUGAAGAA
RNAcentral lists this ribosomal RNA (385 nucleotides) under uncultured bacterium. Its description in RNAcentral is "bacterial SSU rRNA". It matches the Rfam family "Bacterial small subunit ribosomal RNA", at positions 29 to 412 of the family's 1533-position model. The record is from RNAcentral.